This 477-nucleotide ribosomal RNA is filed under the name uncultured bacterium. RNAcentral's name for it is "partial 16S ribosomal RNA". It matches the Rfam family "Bacterial small subunit ribosomal RNA", at positions 30 to 507 of the family's 1533-position model. The record is from RNAcentral.
AUUGAACGCUGGCGGCAUGCCUUACACAUGCAAGUCGAACGGUAACAGGUUAAGCUGACGAGUGGCGAACGGGUGAGUAAUGUAUCGGAACGUGCCCAGUCGUGGGGGAUAACUGCUCGAAAGAGCAGCUAAUACCGCAUACGACCUGAGGGUGAAAGCGGGGGAUCGCAAGACCUCGCGCGAUUGGAGCGGCCGAUAUCAGAUUAGGUAGUUGGUGAGGUAAAGGCUCACCAAGCCGACGAUCUGUAGCUGGUCUGAGAGGACGACCAGCCACACUGGGACUGAGACACGGCCCAGACUCCUACGGGAGGCAGCAGUGGGGAAUUUUGGACAACGGGCGCAAGCCUGAUCCAGCCAUGCCGCGUGCGGGAAGAAGGCCUUCGGGUUGUAAACCGCUUUUGUCAGGGAAGAAAAGGUUCUGGCUAAUACCUGGGACUCAUGACGGUACCUGAAGAAUAAGCACCGGCUAACUACGUG